RNAcentral lists this non-coding RNA (46 nucleotides) under Schistosoma curassoni. Lineage: Eukaryota; Metazoa; Platyhelminthes; Trematoda; Strigeidida; Schistosomatidae. The record is from RNAcentral.
AUCUAUCUGACAAGUCCCAAAAUAGGACGAAACGCGAGUCCAGGAU